Molecule: long non-coding RNA, 561 nt
Organism: Condylura cristata (star-nosed mole)
Lineage: Eukaryota; Metazoa; Chordata; Mammalia; Eulipotyphla; Talpidae
Exons: 3
Source: RefSeq, a predicted model, not a curated record
UACAUCCUCUAAUGUGCCCUAUUUUUCAGUAUCCUGACACCUCCUAGGAUGUUGAUGUUGGGAAUUUUUCCUUCCUAUCAAAUACUAGUUCUAAAUCCACAGAACUAUUUGAGAAACCAGAUGCAAGAACUAUGAGAAUGAACACUUCAGAACAAAAAUUCUCUUAGCUUUUCAUCAAGAAGACAGUUCUUUACUUAGUCCAUUAAUAUCAGUUUCAUGUUGUCUGCAAUCGCAUGACAUAUAAGGAGCAAUAAUUAUAUCAUGCUGUGGAUGUGGACAUCAAGAUAAAGAGAGGGUUAAUACCUUAUCUACAAUCAUCCAACAAAUAUGCAGCAGAACCAGUUCUAGAAUGCAAUCAGUGGAAACAGAGCUCUCUUUGUGUUUCUCCUCCUAAUGCAGACCGGUAACUUCAAACAGUGUCAUUUGCACCUGGGACUAAAAGAAUACGUUUAUACAUUAUAGUAGUUCUUAUUGGUUAGCCACUCAACAUUUAUUCUGUCUUUCCACUUGGAAUCAAUGUGUAUAUAUUGUCACUUUUCUGACUCUAUCUUUAACUUAAGC